This 23-nucleotide non-coding RNA is filed under the name Arabidopsis thaliana (thale cress). Lineage: Eukaryota; Viridiplantae; Streptophyta; Magnoliopsida; Brassicales; Brassicaceae. The record is from RNAcentral.
AAGCCAACAUGUGUCCAUUGAUG